UACGGAGGAUGCGAGCGUUAUCCGGAUUUAUUGGGUUCAAAGGGUGCGCAGGCGGAUUUUUAAGUCAGCGGUCAAAUCGUGGGGCUCAACCCCAUCCAGCCGUUGAAACUGGGGAUCUAGAGUGUGCGAGAGGUAUGCGGAAUGCGUGGUGUAGCGGUGAAAUGCAUAGAUAUCACGCAGAACCCCGAUUGCGAAGGCAGCAUACCGGUGCACAACUGACGCUCAGGCACGAAAGCGUGGGUAUCGAACAGG
RNAcentral lists this ribosomal RNA (252 nucleotides) under uncultured bacterium. RNAcentral's name for it is "partial 16S ribosomal RNA". It matches the Rfam family "Bacterial small subunit ribosomal RNA", at positions 524 to 776 of the family's 1533-position model. The record is from RNAcentral.